This 465-nucleotide ribosomal RNA is filed under the name uncultured bacterium. RNAcentral describes it as "partial 16S ribosomal RNA". It matches the Rfam family "Bacterial small subunit ribosomal RNA", at positions 28 to 507 of the family's 1533-position model. The record is from RNAcentral.
GACGAACGCUGGCGGCGUGCUUAACACAUGCAAGUCGAACGGAAAGGCCCUGCUUGCAGGGUAUUCGAGUGGCGAACGGGUGAGUAACACGUGGGUGAUCUGCCCUGCACUUCGGGAUAAGCCUGGGAAACUGGGUCUAAUACCGGCUAGGAGCCAUUUUUAGUGUGAUGGUUGGAAAGUUUUUUCGGUGUAGGAUGAGCUCGCGGCCUAUCUGCUUGUUGGUGGGGUAAUGGCCUACCAAGGCGGCGACGGGUAGCCGGCCUGAGAGGGUGGACGGCCACAUUGGGACUGAGAGACGGCCCAGACACGUACGGGAGGCAGCAGUGGGGAAGAUUGAACAAUGGGCGCAAGCCUGAUGCAGCGACGCCGCGUGGGGGAUGACGGCCUUCGGGUUGUAAACUCCAUUCGCUAGGGACGAAGCUUUUUGUGACGGUACCUAGAUAAGAAGCACCGGCUAACUACGUG